This 254-nucleotide ribosomal RNA is filed under the name uncultured bacterium. RNAcentral's name for it is "partial 16S ribosomal RNA". It matches the Rfam family "Bacterial small subunit ribosomal RNA", at positions 524 to 776 of the family's 1533-position model. The record is from RNAcentral.
UACGGGGGGAGCAAGCGUUGUUCGGAUUUACUGGGCGUAAAGGGCGCGUAGGCGGCCACGACAAGUCACUUGUGAAAUCUCCGGGCUUAACUCGGAACGGUCAAGUGAUACUGUCGGGCUAGAGUGCAGAAGGGGCAACUGGAAUUCUCGGUGUAGCGGUGAAAUGCGUAGAUAUCGAGAGGAACACCUGCGGCGAAGGCGGGUUGCUGGGCUGAUACUGACGCUGAGGCGCGAAAGCUAGGGGAGCGAACGGG